AAAACUUGUCACCGUUAAAACUAGAUAAAUUCUACAGAAAUGUAAGACUAAUGUCGAUCAGAAAGAACAUAUCUUAACACUAGUAAAAAUCUGUCGUAUAGCCACUACAAAACCGUGGCUAUACAGCUUAAAAUCGUGGCUAUACAAAAAAAUAGCCACGCUUAUGGAUAAAAAAAAAAACGUGGCUAUAGCCUCGUGGCUAGAAAAAACCGUGGCUAUUCGUGGCUAUUAGCCACUGUUUUUCCAUUGCACUUUCGUGGCUAUUUUAGCUACGGUUUUGCUACUAUUUUUUUAGCUAAGUAUANNNN
This 308-nucleotide long non-coding RNA is filed under the name Brassica rapa (field mustard). Its description in RNAcentral is "long non-coding RNA (BRAP_LNC001600)". Lineage: Eukaryota; Viridiplantae; Streptophyta; Magnoliopsida; Brassicales; Brassicaceae. The record is from RNAcentral.